Molecule: ribosomal RNA, 400 nt
Filed under: uncultured Prevotella sp.
Lineage: Bacteria; Pseudomonadati; Bacteroidota; Bacteroidia; Bacteroidales; Prevotellaceae
Description: bacterial SSU rRNA
Rfam family: Bacterial small subunit ribosomal RNA
Source: RNAcentral
UGAGGAAUAUUGGACAAUGGAGGCAACUCUGAUCCAGCCAUGCCGCGUGAAGGACUAAGGCCCUAUGGGCUGUAAACUUCUUUAGACGCAGAGCAAUAAGGGCCACGUGUGGUCCGAUGAGAGUAUGCGUAGAAUAAGCAUCGGCUAAUUCCGUGCCAGCAGCCGCGGUAAUACGGAAGUCCGGGCGUUAUCCGGAUUUAUUGGGUUUAAAGGGAGCGUAGGCCGGAGAUUAAGCGUGUUGUGAAAUGUAGACGCUCAACGUCUGCACUGCAGCGCGAACUGGUUUCCUUGAGUACGCACAAAGUGGGCGGAAUUCGUGGUGUAGCGGUGAAAUGCUUAGAUAUCACGAAGAACUCCGAUUGCGAAGGCAGCUCACUGGAGCGCAACUGACGCUGAAGCU